Molecule: ribosomal RNA, 487 nt
Filed under: uncultured Flavobacteriaceae bacterium
Lineage: Bacteria; Pseudomonadati; Bacteroidota; Flavobacteriia; Flavobacteriales; Flavobacteriaceae
Description: bacterial SSU rRNA
Rfam family: Bacterial small subunit ribosomal RNA
Source: RNAcentral
AUGAACGCUAGCGGAGGCCUAACACAUGCAAGCCGAGCGGGAUUCGUUGGUUAGCUUGCUAACUAACGAUGAGAGCGGCGUACGGGUGCGGAACAUGUGUGCAAUCUGCCCUUAUCAAGGGGAUAGCCCGGAGAAAUCCGGAUUAAUACCCUAUAACAUAUGGGAUGGCAUCAUUUCAUAUUAAAAGCUACGGCGGAUAAGGAUGAGCACGCACAAGAUUAGCUAGUUGGUAAGGUAACGGCUUACCAAGGCGACGAUCUUUAGGGGGCCUGAGAGGGUGAUCCCCCACACUGGGACUGAGACACGGCCCAGACUCCUACGGGAGGCAGCAGUGAGGAAUAUUGGACAAUGGGUGGAAGCCUGAUCCAGCCAUCCCGCGUGCAGGACGACUGCCCUAUGGGUUGUAAACUGCUUUUAUAUAGGGAUAAACCUACUCUCGUGAGAGUAGCUGAAGGUACUAUAUGAAUAAGCACCGGCUAACUCCGUG